CUCUCCCUCCAGUCAGACCUACAGGUAGACCUACAGGUAGCUCUCUCUCCCUCCAGUCAGACCUACAGGUAGACCUACAGGUAGCUCUCUCUCUCCCUCCAGUCAGACCUACAGUCAGACCUACAGGUAGCUCUCUCUCUCCCUCCAGUCAGACCUACAGGUAGACCUACAGGUAGCUCUCUCUCUCCCUCCAGUCAGACCUACAGGUAGCUCUCUCUCUCCCUCCAGUCAGACCUACAGGUAGACCUACAGGUAGCUCUCUCUCUCCCUCCAGUCAGACCUACAGUCAGACCUACAGGUAGCUCUCUCUCCCUCCAGUCAGACCUACAGGUAGCUCUCUCUCCCUCCAGUCAGACCUACAGGUAGCUCUCUCUCUCCUUACACUCAGACCUACAGUCAGACCUACAGGUAGCUCUCUCUCUCU
Sebastes umbrosus (honeycomb rockfish) is the source of this 424-nucleotide long non-coding RNA. RefSeq lists it as uncharacterized. The record is from RefSeq and is a predicted model, not a curated record. The transcript has 3 exons. Lineage: Eukaryota; Metazoa; Chordata; Actinopteri; Perciformes; Sebastidae.